GGUUGCAGCGCCGGGCUCGGCACCCUUAGGACCCUUCGGUGCCUCCCGCAGCACUUUGCGUUGUCAUUUCGACAGCCGCGCCCCCCCCCGUGUGCUUGGCAGCCCCCGCGGAGGGCCAGUUCCUGCCGAGCGUGCGAGCUGCACUUUCAGAGACUUGUUAACGUUUUCUGUACGUGGCACUGACUUGUGCCCAUCAGAGACCCCACGUUCUGGCACGAUGCAGACGGAACCCAGGAGCUCCGACUGCCGCAUGGCGCCGGGCUGCCCGCUUGGAACCUUCCUCACCGAUGCCAGUGCCACAAGCCUUAGUCAGCCCGCUGCGUCCGGUAGCAGUAAGGUUAUCAGCCAAGCGGUGGCUCCCAGGUGGCAGAGGUCAGCCUUUUUAAAUCAAUCCCAGUGGAGGUUUCUCGAUCCAGGCACUGCCUCUUUCUCCUGUACAGAUCAGAGACAGCGGGAAGGCUGGGCAUGGAAACUGCACUGCUCCUGCCUGCGUGGCAGUGAGUCCAGAAGGACUGACCUCAUUAGGGCACUGGUCGGCACCUGCACAAUAUAAUGAUGGUUCGUUAUUUCAGUUCAACUUCUUCACUGUGAGGGUGGUGGGACACUGGCCCAGGCUGCCCAGAGCAGCUGUGGGUGCCCCAUCCCUGGCAGUGCCCAAGGCCAGGCUGGAUGGGGCUGGGGGCAGCCUGGGCUGCUGGGAGGGGUCCCUGCCCAUUGUGGGGGGGUGGAAUGAGGUGGUCUUGAAGGUCCCUUCCAACCCAAACCGUUCUGUGAUUCCAUGAACUGCUGUUAUUACAUGUACAGAAAAGUAAUGACAGUAUUUACAGCAGGUUUCAGGUUAUGUACUAAACUGCAUAAACAUGAAAAAGAGCAAAAAAUGAAGAUAAUAAAGUCCUAAUAAUGUGA
Long non-coding RNA from Falco peregrinus (peregrine falcon), 906 nucleotides. RefSeq lists it as uncharacterized. The transcript has 2 exons. Lineage: Eukaryota; Metazoa; Chordata; Aves; Falconiformes; Falconidae. The record is from RefSeq and is a predicted model, not a curated record.